GAAAGACAUCAUGCUGAAUAG
Molecule: non-coding RNA, 21 nt
Filed under: Mus musculus (house mouse)
Lineage: Eukaryota; Metazoa; Chordata; Mammalia; Rodentia; Muridae
Source: RNAcentral